RNAcentral lists this long non-coding RNA (489 nucleotides) under Dromaius novaehollandiae (emu). Its description in RNAcentral is "lncRNA (ENSDNVG00000000602.1)". The record is from RNAcentral. Lineage: Eukaryota; Metazoa; Chordata; Aves; Casuariiformes; Dromaiidae.
AGGUUAAUUAGUAUUACAUGCUUUUCAGCUGUGAACACAGAAGCUUAGAUCUUGCAAGRUAGUAAUGUUCUUACUUUUGUAUUAAUCACAGUGAAAGCAAAGCUUGCCCACCAACGUGGAGAGGAUUUCAUUGUCCGAAGAAAUUGCCUCAGCAAAAAGGCUGGCAUGGAGAUCUGUGUAGACUCGGACAGGCUCUGCAUUAUCCAUAACAUCAAUACGACAUCUUGCAGAAUUUGAAAUCGCUGCCUUUCUCUCUGAGUUAGUGAAAAAACAAACAAGGUUUGAAAAUACUUUGAGAAAGAGGAUUCGUUUGCCUUCUCGUAGAAAGAUUUUGUUGAGAGAGCUGAAAGCUGAAGCUUGGACCUUUGAAAAAACAGCAAGAAGUGACUCUCUGGGAGCUGCAAGCUGCAAAUAGAAUCUCUGGGAAGCGGAGUUGUCAUUUAAAGACUAUGCAAAUGGUAAUUCCUCAAGAGCUGUGAUGUGAUGAAU